CUGAGACCCAGAGGGGAGGUGGGCAGGGAGGCCUAGAGCAAUAAAAGCACCCAGAACCAACCUUUUCUUUUUCCUUUGCAACUGCUAAACAUCACGUGGGAAACAAUCUGUUAUCUUUUCUCUCCAUGUAGAACAGCCGCGAAUGCUCAGUGCGUAUUUGCCUUGUCCCAUACACGUGUUGACGUUUUUCAUCCUUCUGUUAUUACAGAUGCUGCAAAGGCAAUAACCCUGAAAUGUCACAGCUGCAGAUUUGUAUCGCAUAGAUAAGAUGGGGUAGUUAAAUAGUCACUCAACAUCGGUAAAAGACAACAAAACCUGCAAGAAGGCACAGUGUAUGGUACCUGCGGGGUUCACAUCACCGCUCAACCUGGGAAACUUUGAAUGGCCCGAGAGAGGUGAUGGCCCGAGCAGCCACUUCCCACUCGGCUCUUGCUAGGCACUGUGGGACCACGUCAUGCUCCAAGGAGUUUUCCAGAUCACCAAUGCUGAGAAUAAUCUACAUCAGCACUGCAGAUCGAGGCAUUCAGCACCAUCUGUGAUGAGGGUACUAUAGGCAAACCCCAAGCAAGCAACACAGGGAAACCCUAUGGGCUGCAUUAUCAUUCCAUUUCCCAUGCCCAUUCCUACGAUACAUCCACCCAGAUCAUCCCAGCCAGCUCUGGUCUAAUACAGGUGCUGGGGGCAGGGAUGCAUCUUCCCAGGAAUUCAGCUACCUCUUUCUUCCAUGAGGCUCGGCUGUUUUGGAGACAAAAAUCCUCUCCAGUUUGUAAGGACAUUGCCCCACGUUCCCCAGCAUCAGACCUCCAAGGCCUGGCUGGGCUGCCCACCAUCCACCCCCCGACAUUUUGGGAGGAUCCCAGGGCCAGGGACAUCGCCAGGGCUGGAGGGGUAAAUCAGGGGAGUCAAACUAGAGGGGUUUUCUCAAACCAGGAGCACAGUGGUGUGUUGGGUUUGGAUGGGAUAGAAUUAAUUGU
Falco peregrinus (peregrine falcon) is the source of this 974-nucleotide long non-coding RNA. RefSeq lists it as uncharacterized. The transcript is spliced from 4 exons. The record is from RefSeq and is a predicted model, not a curated record. NCBI's taxonomy places the organism in Eukaryota, Metazoa, Chordata, Aves, Falconiformes, Falconidae.